Molecule: small nuclear RNA, 62 nt
Organism: Homo sapiens (human)
Lineage: Eukaryota; Metazoa; Chordata; Mammalia; Primates; Hominidae
Source: Ensembl
UAGAGUUAAAGGUAUUUUAGAAUUUGUCUAUCAGAUUUUCUGGUUUUUACCAGAAAAUUUAA